GUGGGGAAUUUUGGACAAUGGGGGCAACCCUGAUCCAGCCAUGCCGCGUGCGGGAAGAAGGCCUUCGGGUUGUAAACCGCUUUUGUCAGGGAAGAAAUCCUUUGGGUUAAUACCUCGGAGGGAUGACGGUACCUGUAGAAUAAGCACCGGCUAACUACGUGCCAGCAGCCGCGGUAAUACGUAGGGUGCGAGCGUUAAUCGGAAUUACUGGGCGUAAAGCGUGCGCAGGCGGUUUUGUAAGAUCGAUGUGAAAUCCCCGGGCUCAACCUGGGAACUGCAUUGGUGACUGCAAGGCUGGAGUGCGGCAGAGGGGGAUGGAAUUCCGCGUGUAGCAGUGAAAUGCGUAGAUAUGCGGAGGAACACCGAUGGCGAAGGCAAUCCCCUGGGCCUGCACUGACGCUCAUGCACGAAAGCGUGGGGAGCAAACAGGAUUAGAAACCCGGGUAGUCC
Molecule: ribosomal RNA, 450 nt
Filed under: uncultured bacterium
Lineage: Bacteria
Description: partial 16S ribosomal RNA
Rfam family: Bacterial small subunit ribosomal RNA
Source: RNAcentral